AUUGAACGCUGGCGGAAUGCUUUACACAUGCAAGUCGAGCGGCAGCGCGGGGGCAACCCUGGCGGCGAGCGGCGAACGGGUGAGUAACAUAUCGGAACGUACCCCGUCGUGGGGGAUAACACAGCGAAAGCUGUGCUAAUACCGCAUACGACCUGAGGGUGAAAGCGGGGGAUCGCAAGACCUCGCGCGAUGGGAGCGGCCGAUAUCGGAUUAGCUUGUUGGUGAGGUAAAGGCUCACCAAGGCGACGAUCCGUAGCUGGUCUGAGAGGACGACCAGCCACACUGGAACUGAGACACGGUCCAGACUCCUACGGGAGGCAGCAGUGGGGAAUUUUGGACAAUGGGGGCAACCCUGAUCCAGCCAUUCCGCGUGAGUGAAGAAGGCCUUCGGGUUGGUU
Molecule: ribosomal RNA, 398 nt
Filed under: uncultured bacterium
Lineage: Bacteria
Description: bacterial SSU rRNA
Rfam family: Bacterial small subunit ribosomal RNA
Source: RNAcentral